Molecule: ribosomal RNA, 1202 nt
Filed under: uncultured fungus
Lineage: Eukaryota; Fungi
Description: eukaryotic LSU rRNA
Rfam family: Eukaryotic large subunit ribosomal RNA (bases 528-1202)
Source: RNAcentral
AAAAGGUUGAGGGUAUCGAAUAAGCCUUGCAUAUCCACUGCUGGGGAAUUCGCCCCUUCUUGGCUCAUUUAGAGGAAGUAAAAGUCGUAACAAGGUUUCCGUAGGUGAACCUGCGGAAGGAUCAUUACUGUGAUGCGCUUCACUGCGCGUGCUACACAUAUGUUUACAUUCUGAGAGGCUUACGAGCAUUAAAAUCAUUAAAUUUAUAGUCAAAACAACACAAAUAUCAAAACUUUCAACAACGGAUCUCUUGGUUCUCGCAACGAUGAAGAACGCAGCGAAUUGCGAUAAGUAUUGUGAAUUGCAGAUUUUCGUGAAUCAUCGAAUCUUUGAACGCACAUUGCGCCCUCUGGCAUUCCGGAGGGCAUGCCUGUUUGAGCGUCAUUUCUUUCUCACAGAGUAAUUUGUGGUAUUGAACAACCUAAUUUAGGAGUUCAAAACACCCAGCUGCAGUCAGUGCACGUAUAAUGUCUAGGUCCUGCCAACUCAUUACACAAACACAGCACCCAGCUCAACAACCCAAAGUUUGACCUCAAAUCAGGUAGGACUACCCGCUGAACUUAAGCAUAUCAAUAAGCGGAGGAAAAGAAACCAACAGGGAUUGCCUCAGUAACGGCGAGUGAAGCGGCAAAAGCUCAAAUUUGAAAUCUAGUGCUUUCAGUACUCGAGUUGUAAUUUGAAGAUGGCAACUUUGGGCGUGGCCUUUAUCUAUGUUCCUUGGAACAGGACGUCACAGAGGGUGAGAAUCCCGUCUGAUGAGGAGAUCCACGCCUUUGUAAAGUGCCUUCGAAGAGUCGAGUUGUUUGGGAAUGCAGCUCUAAGUGGGUGGUAAAUUCCAUCUAAAGCUAAAUAUUGGCGAGAGACCGAUAGCGAACAAGUACAGUGAUGGAAAGAUGAAAAGAACUUUGAAAAGAGAGUGAAAAAGUACGUGAAAUUGUUGAAAGGGAAGGGUAUUAGAUCAGACUUGGCGGUUGUUGAAAAUCAGUCCCAUGUGGAUUGUGCACUCAACAGCAGCUGGGCCAGCAUCGAUUGGAGUGGUUGGAUAAGGGUUGUUGGAACGUGGCACCCUUCGGGGUGUGUUAUAGCCUUCAGCACAUACGACCUACUUCGAUCGAGGACUGCGUCUUUUGACUAGGAUGCUGGCGUAAUGAUCUAAUAUCGCCCGUCUUGAAACACGGACCAAGGGCGAAUUCCACCAUUGG